This 511-nucleotide ribosomal RNA is filed under the name uncultured bacterium. Its description in RNAcentral is "bacterial SSU rRNA". It matches the Rfam family "Bacterial small subunit ribosomal RNA", at positions 28 to 528 of the family's 1533-position model. The record is from RNAcentral.
GACGAACGCUGGCGGCGUGGAUUAGGCAUGCAAGUCGAACGGUAUCAUCCUUUCGGGGGUGAGAGAGUGGCGAACUGGUGAGUAACACGUAGGUUAUCUACCCUCAAGACGGGGACAACCCAGGGAAACUUGGGCUAAUACCGGAUGUGAGCAACUUUUAGUUGUUUGAAAGGUGGCGUAAGCUGUCGCUUGGGGAUGAGCCUGCGUCCUAUUAGUUAGUUGGUGAGGUAACGGCUCACCUAGGCAAUGAUAGGUAGGCGGCCUUAACGGGUGGUCGCCCACACUGGGAUUGAGAUACGGCCCAGACUCCUACGGGAGGCAGCAGUCGAGAAUAGUCUACAAUGGUCGGAAGACUGAUAGUGCGACGCCGCGUGAACGAUGAAUCCCUUCGGGGUGUAAAGUUCUUUUAUAUGUGAGCAGUGCUUCUUAUAUUAACAGUAUGGGGAGAGAGAUAUUAGCAUAUGAAUAAGCAACGGCUAAACUCCGUGCCAGCAGCCGCGGUAAAAUACCG